UUACGGGAGGCAGCAAUUAGGAAUCUUGCGCAAUGGGCGAAAGCCUGACGCAGCGACGCCGCGUGACUGAUGAAGUCCUUCGGGAUGUAAAGGUCUUUUGCAGGGGAAGAAGGAAGUGACGGUACCCUGCGAAUAAGCUCCGGCUAACUACGUGCCAGCAGCCGCGGUAAUACGUAGGGAGCGAGCGUUGUCCGAAUUCACUGGGCGUAAAGCGCGCGUAGGCGGGUUUUUAAGUUGUGGGUGAAAUUCCGAGGCUCAACCUCGGAACUGCCUGCAAAACUGGAAGCCUUGAGGUAUGGAGAGGGAAGUGGAAUUCCAGGUGUAGCGGUGAAAUGCGUAGAUAUCUGGAGGAACACCCGUGGCGAAGGCGGCUUCCUGGCCAUAUCCUGACGCUGAGGUGCGAAAGCUAGGGGAGCGAACGGGAUUAGAUACCCCGGUAGU
Molecule: ribosomal RNA, 441 nt
Filed under: uncultured bacterium
Lineage: Bacteria
Description: bacterial SSU rRNA
Rfam family: Bacterial small subunit ribosomal RNA
Source: RNAcentral